GUGCUCACUUCGGCAGCACAUAUACUAAAAUUGGAACAAUACAGAGAAAAUUAGCAUGGACCCUGCACCAGGAUGAUGCACAAAUUUGUGAAGCAUUCCAUAUUUGU
Panthera leo (lion) is the source of this 107-nucleotide small nuclear RNA. The record is from Ensembl. NCBI's taxonomy places the organism in Eukaryota, Metazoa, Chordata, Mammalia, Carnivora, Felidae.